UUGCGCGUCAUGUUCUUCACCUUAAGUGGUCUCUUUCGCUUUUUUUAAACCUAAAAUCGUUCAUCCCUUUUCGACUUCCAUUUCUCUUCUCUGUAGAUCCGUUUCGUUUGGGCCUUUAAUAGAAGGAAAGUUACUAUGCCUGUGGUUAAUCACUUAAAGCUUGGAACUAAAGGAAUUUUAAUAGAAGGUGGAAACGUUACUAUGCCUGUGGAGUUUCAAGCGACUGCGACUUUACGUUCUCCUCUCCGUUGUGAUUUUGUGAUCGUUGAUCGGCUUUAGGCUCUCCUCUCCGUAAUGGCUCAUUGAUUCAUACAACAAAAAUGAUCUUGAGACUCCUUGAGCUCGAAGCUCCCAUCAAAUCUACGAUGAUAUUCAUGGACAAUACUCGGGUCUGUUGAGGCUGUUUAAAUACGUAGGCUUCGCUCCUGCAGCUAACUAUUUAUUCUUAGGAGAUUAAGUGGACGAAAGGUAGCAGAGUUUGGAGAUGAUCUGUCUUCUACUUGCCUACAAAAUCAAAUACCCGAGAAUAUUUUCCUUCUAAGAGGAAACAACGAACGAGCUUCCAUCAGGCAUCAACAGAAUCUACGGAUUCUAUGAUGGAUCCAACUGCUGUUUCAGUGUGGGGCUCUGGAAACUGUUCUCAGUUUCUUUUAAAUGCCUCACGUAGCUGCUGCAAUAGUGAUAAAAUAUUAUGCAUGCAUUUCUUUCCAUGAUUUGACAACCGUGGAACAUAUUACAAACAUUAAGCAACCUACUGAUGUUCCAGACUCUACUAAGCUCUGUGAUCUGCUUUGGUCUGAUCAAGCAAAGAUGUUUACGUACGGUUGUUGAGGAUGGUUGUGACAUUUUCCUGAUCGACAGCUUCAUGCUAUUAUAUUUUCUGCUCCUAACUACUGUGGUGACUUUGACAAUGCUGGUGCAAUGACAAGUGUUGAUGAAAGUUAAAUGAACUCUUUCCAGGUGCUUAAGCAUGUGGAUUGGAGGCCCUGGUUCUUAUGAUGAAAAGAGAGUUCACUAUGUAUAGUAAAAAGAAUAAGCAAACAUGACUGAAAAAUCUCAGGAGUUACUCGCAUCACAAGUAACCAUCGGCGAAUGAUUACAGAUGUAGCCAAUCAAACAGGAUCCAUAAAAACAAAGGAGGCAGAGCACAAUGUAAAAGAUACACGAGCACUGCUUUAGUAAUUGCCGAAUAGAUCAACUCCUUAUUAACAUCAUUACUUCUUUUUUCCUGCAGAAAUAUAGCAUUUUUAAAAUGAACUAGGUGAGUUGCAUAAUGUAGUAAAGGAAGGGCCAUCUAGAAAAUAGACAAUGCUACUACAGAUACGCUACUUCUAAGAGAAAAUAAAUAAUUACUCCAAAUGCAAGACACGUUAAUUUACACAAAUAGCAAAAAAUUAUAGACUCCACAAGUGAACUAAUUCCUUGAAAAAUGAAAUAAAUAAUUACUCCAAAUGUCAGACACAUUUACACAAAUCUCAUGAAUUUAUCGACUCUAUAAGUAACAAAUAGACACCAUGAUCAGUAAAAUUAUCCCAAGAAAAACAAGGACAGCCGACAGAGAACAAGGCAACAGAUUCUCACAAGCAGUUGUUAGUAACUUGCCAAAUAAAAUCCAGUUGUAACCAAGAAUUCCUUUCGAUUAGAGAGAAUGAACUUUAAAUAAAUGCUUUUUAUUCCAAUAAAUCUGUAGAAAAUAGAAGUUAUGACACGAAUUCUAUAAAAAUCCUGACAUGGAAAAUAUAUUUUCGUACAGUUUAAAUGGUAUAUGCAAUAAAAACACAUAAGCAAAUACUGUAUACGAAACUAAAUAAUCUAAACAAAAUUAAAAAAUUAUAUGCAGCCAAAAUAAAAAUAGUGCAUAUUUCCAUUGAAACCACUUCAACAAUCGUAUUAAAAAUUAGCUAAGCAAGACUAAAGUUGAAUACUCUAGCAUCAAACAAAUUUAAUCGAAGAAAAUAAUUAAAUAUAAAAAUCGGAAUCAGAAAAAAAAAAUCCAUACAUACUAUAUAAUCAACACCAAAUAUAAUGUUUCUGGUUAUUAAUAAAAUAAAGAGCUCAUGUCAAAACCGACUAUUAAGUAUUAACAGUACUGACUUUAGAGAUGUCAAUGUCAAUCAUGGACCUGGACCGCGGGUCUGGCCCGUAAAGAACUGUCGCGGGACGGGAUUGGACCGAGAUUUUACAGACCCGCAAAUUAGCGGGCUUUGCGGGACGAGUCUUUGCGGGACUGGGUCUUUUGCGGGAUGGGACGAUGCGGGUCUGCGGGAUUACAAAGACCCGCAUUUUUUCCUCUUCAAUUCUUGUUUUACUUCAAAAAAAAAUAAAAAAGAGUGAAAAAGGUAAUUUAUAUGACUUUCCUCUGAAAAAAGAAAAAAGCUUCAGCAAUGAUGAUUCGAGCUCCGACGAUGAUGUUUUGAGCUCCAUUAGUGUUUUAAUUUGGUGUUUUUUAAUUAAUUUUGGGAUUAGCAGCUUAGUUUUGGUGUUUGAUUAUAUUUAGUUUUUAUUCAUUAAAACUAAAAAAAUUGGUUAUGAACUUAGGAGUUAUAAGCUAAUGAAAAACAUAUUCUGAAAUUAUCUUUAAUUGGUAUGUAAAUAUAUUUGAGUGUGACAAAAUUAACUAUAACUAUUUUAUUUGGUUAAGAUAACAUGAACAAGACUAAGCUCUGAUCAAAGCGGUAACGAGAAUAAGCUAUGGUUAGAGCUUUGAUCGACUAAGCUAUUUAAUUCUAU
Long non-coding RNA from Raphanus sativus (radish), 2730 nucleotides. RefSeq lists it as uncharacterized. The record is from RefSeq and is a predicted model, not a curated record. The transcript has 4 exons. NCBI's taxonomy places the organism in Eukaryota, Viridiplantae, Streptophyta, Magnoliopsida, Brassicales, Brassicaceae.